This 589-nucleotide ribosomal RNA is filed under the name uncultured bacterium. Its description in RNAcentral is "partial 16S ribosomal RNA". It matches the Rfam family "Bacterial small subunit ribosomal RNA", at positions 355 to 1375 of the family's 1533-position model. The record is from RNAcentral.
UGGGGAAUUUUGGACAAUGGGCGAAAGCCUGAUCCAGCAAUGCCGCGUGUGUGAAGAAGGCCUUCGGGUUGUAAAGCACUUUUGUCCGGAAAGAAAUCCUUGGCUCUAAUACAGUCGGGGGAUGACGGUACCGGAAGAAUAAGCACCGGCUAACUACGUGCCAGCAGCCGCGGUAAUACGUAGGGUGCAAGCGUUAAUCGGAAUUACUGGGCGUAAAGCGUGCGCAGGCGGUUUGCUAAGACCGAUGUGAAAUCCCCGGGCUCAACCUGGGAACUGCAUUGGCGACUGGCAGGCUAGAGUAUGGCAGAGGGGGGUAGAAUUCCACGUGUAGCAGUGAAAAUGCGUAGAGAUGUGGAGGAAUACCGAUGGCGAAGGCAGCCCCCUGGGCAAUACUGACGCUCAUGCACGAAAAGCGUGGGGAGCAAAACAGGAUUAGAUACCCUGGUAGUCCACGCCCUAAAACGAUGUCAACUAGUUGUUGGGGAUUCAUUUCCUUAGUAACGUAGCUAACGCGUGAAGUUGACCGCCUGGGGAGUACGGUCGCAAGAUUAAAAACUUAAAUGAAUUGACGGGGUCAUAGCUGUUUCCU